This 291-nucleotide ribosomal RNA is filed under the name uncultured bacterium. RNAcentral describes it as "partial 16S ribosomal RNA". The record is from RNAcentral.
GGACUACCGGGGUAUCUAAUCCUGUUUGCUCCCCACGCUUUCGUGCCUCAGUGUCAGUUACAGUCCAGAAAGCCGCCUUCGCCACUGGUGUUCCUCCUAAUAUCUACGCAUUUCACCGCUACACUAGGAAUUCCGCUUUCCUCUCCUGCACUCAAGCCUCACAGUUCGCGGGGCGAACAAUGGUUAAGCCAUUGCCUUAAACCCCGCGCUUACAAAGCCACCUACGCACUCUUUACGCCCAAUAAUUCCGGAUAACGCUUGCCCCCUACGUAUUACCGCGGCUGCUGGCAC